ACUGAAGCCACCGAACCGUUGACAAAAACCCAAAGCCCCGAAAAAAGUGGAUAGAGGAGCGAAAACAGUCAGUUAGCCAAAAUCUUCAGUUUCAGUUUGGAAAAAACAAUAAAUGGAGACUGUGCGAAGCUUAUAAUGAGCUACAAGGGCUAGCACCGGAGCUGAAGACUCCAUUUGACCCACCGGCGGUGUUACUGGUUGGCCAGCAGACCGAUGGAAAGAGGUCACGCACUGGUGGAAGGUCUCAUGAGUUGGCGGUGGCACCAAAUCUCGUCGCCCCAUUAUUCUCCAUAUGAAAUAUGAUCCUGAAUGCGAGGUCCCUUCUUGCUAUCUUGUCUCUGAUGAUGACGCUUCUUUUUCCCAGGAGAAAUCUCUCCAUGAAAUUCAGAUUGAUCCUGAGCUCUCAAAGACUGUUGUUGGCUCAAUUGACACGAGAAUACCCUAGUUUGCUCGCUCAUCUGACGUUGAAGUAUUCCUUUCACUGCCAGUUAAUACACCUGAUGAUUUCAUGGUGGCCGGUGGGCGGGUCUCCCUUCUUUACAACUCUUCCUUCUGGAAGAGUUGGUUCUGCCCAUGAUUCAGUUUAUAGCUCCAAUGAUGAGUUUAAGCAGGUUUGGUUUCAGUUUGUGAGAAUACUGUAUUCUUUACUUCUGUAUUUUUCCUUAUUCUUGUUGCCUUCCGCACGUGUUGCAUUAUGUGUAGAUCCUAGAUUUACAGGCUUGAUGCUGGAUGUUUUUCCUUUCCUCUUUUAAGUCAUUAAGUGUCUUAAUAAUUUCUUGUGUGUAAGUUGUGUUCCAUAUUUGUCUUAAUGAUUUCUUGUCUGUAAGUUGUGUUUCAUAUGCAUGAUACGAGGGGAUUCUUUUUUAAUGAUUAGUAUUAGGACACAGAUAAAAAAACAUGAGCCAAUUGCCAUACCCAACUGAUAUUAAAUGUUGAACAGUUCGGUAAUCUCAAUGAAAGGUUGACAAUUUUGCAAUUUAUAUGUAGAAUGCAGGGAUGCGCUUUUAUGGGGGUGCACUAUAUCAUCAUGCAAUGGCAGAAUUCUGUUUUGUUGCUGGGGGGAUCAACUGUCCUCAAAUUACAGGUGAAGAAAUUGCGAAUGCAUGUGGAGUUGAAGAUAUCCAUGAUGGAACUAACUACUCUAGGUAUCCUUGAGAUUGCUUGCUCUUUACCCAGGUGGGAUCACAUGGAAUGUAUCUUUAUAAAUGAUUUAUAUGACAACUUUUGGGAUUAAUUCCAAAUUAUUUUCUUUUGCUGCUUUCAAGUGCAUCCUGUCUAUAGUGAACCAGCUUCUUGCAACUUUUCUUUCUCCUUGCAUCUACAUCUUUAAGCCUUGCAACAAAAAUUUGGAGUAAAUACACUGGGGUUUCAUCACAGACCAUGUCCAAGCAAAAGCCAGCUUCUGAAGAAGCAUGUCUCUUAACAGGGAGAAUCUAUCCACUUGGUGCUUUCAAGCUUUGAACAAAAGUUUUAACUGAAAAUCUGGCAUUCCUAGAAUGAAUGAGAAUCAAUUCAACAUGUUUCAAUUUAAGAUAUUAAUGCAAAAUGUAUCUCAUGAUAAUGUCAGUGAUUAUCUCAUAAUUUUAGAAACAUAAUUUUGGAAAGAAGGUUACUAUAUGUUUGCUAAAAUUUUUAGGGAUUGUAUAGUUAUUGUCCCACUCAAGAAGAAAUCUAGAAGGGAAGUUAUAAGAAAAUAUACUUUAAAGUUACUAGUUUGUUUAUGAAAAAUGAAAUCUGAAUGAUAUUUUGCAAGAGAAAUGAUGAAUGUUAUAUCAUAUUCUUAAUGAUAUAGCUGUCCCAUUUUCUUAAACAUGGGGAGAAUGAUGAGCUUUUCAGAAAAUUCUGGCUGUUUGUCUUAUUGUAAUUAAUCUUUGUCCUAUCAUGCUAUCUUUUCAGACGCUUCAGAGAAGUCUGAGCACUAUAAUGUAUGCUCUUUCUCUUUCCCUGCGUCAACUGAAUGGAAUUAUGCAAUAGCGGUAUAGAAUCUUGCUCAUGUAAUUAGUUUUAGUUGGAUUCAUUCUCCUAACUUUCAAUCAAUAUAUUUGAUCAUUCUGUAAAGUAUGAUUUUUGUGUACAUAAAUUUUGGACUAUGAAAGCAGCAGUCCUGUUUUUUGUUUGCUUCAGCAUGUAAGUUGUAAAAUUUGGACACGUCUUCUGGUACAGUUGACUUUUUAUUUCAAAACUAAUAUCCAUCCUCCUUCGAUGCAGUAAGGUUGUAGGCUUUUGUGUGUCUUGAAGAGAUUACUUCCAAUCUCUGUCUAUCUUCUUCAAGUGUGGGUUCUAUGUUGGUCUUUAUCCUUUAAAUCUUUAGGACAUUCUGAAUUGUCAUUUCAUUCAUUCUUUUAUCUCGUACCUGAACUUGUUUGUAACAGAAAGAUGGUGAGUAUCGAAGUGGUCAAGAUGUAUUCCUCAAGCGUGUUGCUUCUGCCUUCAGCAACUUCACAGAAUCUACAAAAAGGGCAUGCCAUGAAAAUUUUUCUGCUUGUUUCUUUUACAACAGUUCUGUUUUCUGUAUAUAUAAUAAAAAACUGCUAACCCUUGAUUUAGUUCUCUGAGAUAUCUUUCUACCAUGGCGGGCUAGAGUGGUUUGAAAUUCAAAAUUUCCAAUGUACUGAGUGCCUAAGGAGCAUUGUAGAAUAGAUAAAAAAGGUAAGAGAAUAGCAUACACAAAACAACACUUGAAAUGGUACCCCCCCAAGUUUACCUAGACAAAGCAAAGCAUGGCAUUUCGUCGUUGGUGUUCAUCAAGAGUUUUGUACUUGCCGUUUUUGUUUUAUUUUCUGCAGAUACGUGGAAGAUUUAGAAAGCACCACACGUAAUGUAACACCAGAGUUUACCUAGACAAAGCAUGACACUUCGUAGCUGGUGUUCAUCAGAGUUUAUUUUGUACUUGCUGUUUUUGUUUAAUAUUUGCUGCAGAUUCAUGGAAGAUUUAGAAAGCACCAUGCGUAAUGUAACACCACAAAAAGUGUAUAGAAUCAGGCUAGGCUACGCCAAUUCUGGACUCCUUUGGUGGAACAGAGCAGUUUGCCAAUGAGAAGCAUGGCAAUCAACCAAGCGCAGAUGUCAAGCUCAGUCGUUUGGCUUCAGGCAUUGACUCAAGCUCAGCAGUUCAGAUAACAGAGACGCGCCUUGCAGAUCUUCUAGACAGACUGCCCUUUCAUCUGGAAGAAUUGUUUAUGCCCUUGUUCAACAUAUAUAUUUCAUUUUUAUUAUUUUAAAAUAGUAUUUAAAAAGCCGUCAUAGGUGGAG
Molecule: RNA transcript, 3252 nt
Organism: Populus euphratica (Euphrates poplar)
Lineage: Eukaryota; Viridiplantae; Streptophyta; Magnoliopsida; Malpighiales; Salicaceae
Gene name: dynamin-like protein ARC5
Exons: 3
Source: RefSeq, a predicted model, not a curated record